AGUCGAACGAAUCCCUUGUAGCAAUACGAGGGGGAAGUGGCGAAAGGGGCAGUAAUGCGUGGCUAACCUACCCCGGGGACGGGGAUAGCCUCCCUAACGGGAGGGUAAUACCCGGCGAUGUGGCGAGGGGGCAUCUCUUUGCCAUGAAAUGAAUUUCGCCUCGGGAGGGGGUCACGUGCUAUUACCUAGUUGGCGGGGUAACGGCCCACCAAGGGGAAGAUGGCUAGCGGGUGUGAGAGCACGACCCGCGCCACUGGCACUGAGACACUGGCCAGACUCCUACGGGAGGCUGCAGUCGAGGAUCUUCGGCAAUGGGCGCAAGCCUGACCGAGCGACGCCGCGUGUGCGAUGAAGGCCUUCGGGUUGUAAAGCACUGUCGAGGGGGAGGAAAGCCCGCAAGGGUCUGACCUAUCCCUGGAGGAAGCACGGGCUAAGUUCGUGCCANCAGCCGCGGUAAGACGAACCGUGCAAACGUUGUUCGGAUUCACUGGGCUUAAAGGGCGCGUAGGCGGCUUGCCAAGUCAGUGGUGAAAUCUUUCGGCUCAACCGGAAAAUGGCUGCUGAUACUGGCGGGCUGGAGGGAGGUAGGGGCAGAUGGAACUUCCGGUGGAGCGGUGAAAUGCGUAGAUAUCGGAAGGAACGCCGGUGGCGAAAGCGAUCUGCUGGAUCUCUUCUGACGCUGAGGCGCGAAAGCCAGGGGAGCAAACGGGAUUAGAUACCCCGGUAGUCCUGGCCCUAAACGAUGGGUACUAGGUUGUGGACUUGACAUGGGUUCACAGCCGAAGCAAAAGUGUUAAGUACCCCGCCUGGGGAGUAUGGUCGCAAGGCU
RNAcentral lists this ribosomal RNA (829 nucleotides) under uncultured Planctomycetota bacterium. RNAcentral's name for it is "bacterial SSU rRNA". It matches the Rfam family "Bacterial small subunit ribosomal RNA", at positions 60 to 895 of the family's 1533-position model. The record is from RNAcentral. Lineage: Bacteria; Pseudomonadati; Planctomycetota.